Molecule: non-coding RNA, 98 nt
Filed under: uncultured Luminiphilus sp.
Lineage: Bacteria; Pseudomonadati; Pseudomonadota; Gammaproteobacteria; Cellvibrionales; Halieaceae
Description: Pyrrolysine insertion sequence mttB
Rfam family: Pyrrolysine insertion sequence mttB
Source: RNAcentral
GACAGAUGCCAACAUGCCUGAUUUCCAAGCAGGCGCGGAGCGGGCUCAUACACUGAUGCCGCCGGCACUAGCCGGCUCCAACCUGAUUUACGAGGCGG